UACGAAGGGGGCUAGCGUUGCUCGGAAUCACUGGGCGUAAAGGGCGCGUAGGCGGCUGAUUUAGUCGAGGGUGAAAGCCCGUGGCUCAACCACGGAAUGGCCUUCGAUACUGAUUGGCUUGAGACCGGAAGAGGACAGCGGAACUGCGAGUGUAGAGGUGAAAUUCGUAGAUAUUCGCAAGAACACCAGUGGCGAAGGCGGCUGUCUGGUCCGGUUCUGACGCUGAGGCGCGAAAGCGUGGGGAGCAAACAGG
RNAcentral lists this non-coding RNA (253 nucleotides) under uncultured bacterium. RNAcentral's name for it is "partial 16S ribosomal RNA". It matches the Rfam family "Bacterial small subunit ribosomal RNA", at positions 524 to 776 of the family's 1533-position model. The record is from RNAcentral. RNAcentral also lists the same sequence under 1 other name.